CCUACGGGAGGCAGCAGUGGGGAAUUUUGGACAAUGGGGGCAACCCUGAUCCAGCAAUGCCGCGUGAGUGAAGAAGGCCUUCGGGUUGUAAAGCUCUUUUGUCAGGGAAGAAACGGUGAUCUCUAAUACAGAUUACUAAUGACGGUACCUGAAGAAUAAGCACCGGCUAACUACGUGCCAGCAGCCGCGGUAAUACGUAGGGUGCAAGCGUUAAUCGGAAUUACUGGGCGUAAAGCGUGCGCAGGCGGUUAUAUAAGUCAGAUGUGAAAUCCCCGGGCUCAACCUGGGAACUGCAUUUGAGACUGUAUGGCUAGAGUGUGUCAGAGGGGGGUAGAAUUCCACGUGUAGCAGUGAAAUGCGUAGAUAUGUGGAGGAAUACCGAUGGCGAAGGCAGCCCCCUGGGAUAACACUGACGCUCAUGCACGAAAGCGUGGGGAGCAAACAGGAUUAGAUACCCUGGUAGUCCACGCCCUAAACGAUGUCUACUAGUUGUCGGGUCUUAAUUGACUUUGGUAACGCAGCUACGACGUGAGUAGACCGCCGNGGAGGUACGGUCGCGAGAGUAAACGUACGAAGAAGUUAGACGGCGUGAGAGUAGCGACGACGACGACGAGGGAGGAGG
RNAcentral lists this ribosomal RNA (622 nucleotides) under uncultured bacterium. Its description in RNAcentral is "bacterial SSU rRNA". The stretch from base 1 to 542 matches the Rfam family "Bacterial small subunit ribosomal RNA", at positions 338 to 873 of the family's 1533-position model. The record is from RNAcentral.